UGUAGCUCAGUUGGUAGAGUGCUUGUCUGGCACGCAUAAGUCCCUGGGUUUGAACCCUAGCA
RNAcentral lists this transfer RNA (62 nucleotides) under Ictidomys tridecemlineatus (thirteen-lined ground squirrel). RNAcentral describes it as "Spermophilus tridecemlineatus (thirteen-lined ground squirrel) tRNA". It matches the Rfam family "tRNA", at positions 6 to 65 of the family's 71-position model. From Rfam's summary of the family: Transfer RNA (tRNA) molecules are approximately 80 nucleotides in length. Lineage: Eukaryota; Metazoa; Chordata; Mammalia; Rodentia; Sciuridae. The record is from Rfam by way of RNAcentral.